UUAGCAUAUGUAUUAUUCAAGUGUAGUUCUUAUGGAAUCCAUUUGUCGAGAUAAACUGUCAUUCAAGAUAGUAAUGAUCUAAAAUUCUCGAUAGUUGGUCAUUGUUUUUCGACAGUUAUGAUACAACAUCAAACUUGUUUUAUGUACUCUUCUACGUGUGUUAUGAAGUAAAUAUAUUAUAUACCAUCAUUUGACAUUUGGUAUUUGUUCAUGUUAUUGAUUUUUGAAUAGAUUGACAAACUAUGAUGCUAUUGAAGGGUGCCUGAAGGGCAUGUCAACACCUUCUUCUAGUAAAGGAAGUGCCCUCAAAUGCUACCUAUCUAAUUGAAAAUAAAGAAGUGGCCAGCGCUCAAUGUAAAUUUGAAUAUCGUUUGCUUCGAACUGAAGUCCUUACACUAUAAGUGGUGAAAAGAGAGGAGAAAAAUGAAAUGAUUGAAAUUUGUUAAAUGGAAAACAUUGACUUCCCUUUUUGAAUUGUUGAGAAUAGUGGAACUUUGCAGGUUAUGAAGUUCAAGUAUCUAAUCUUUGUACUUUGAUGAUGAAAAACAUUGUAUAACUUAUUUUCGUAUAU
RNAcentral lists this long non-coding RNA (571 nucleotides) under Olea europaea subsp. europaea. Lineage: Eukaryota; Viridiplantae; Streptophyta; Magnoliopsida; Lamiales; Oleaceae. The record is from RNAcentral.